UCUAAAAGUCUAUUUCAUAAUAUCAAGUGUUUUAAAUUUUAAAUAUACUUAACAGGCUUCCCAAAGUCAAACUUUAGUCUCAAGGUUGUCUUUCCUAACCCCUGGCUUUUGGGUGCUGCAGAGGACCCCCGAAGCAUCUAGAAGAGAGGUAAACAGAAUUAUUUAACAUGUUGAGGAACAUAAAAUUACCAAAAUGAUGUCUAAUACUCUUCAGGUUAUAUUUUAGGGGAUAAUAUUAACAUGUGUUCCAAAACUGUGUGGGAUGUCUGUGGUUCUAGUGUCUGAAUGUGUGCUAUUACAAUUAAGCUUGUUAUGUUGGGUUUUUGAAAACCACAAAAAUAACCAAAUUUCUUUGUUAAUUGUAUUUCUGACUAUCCAAACUGGACAUUUUGUCAUUUACAGACAAUUGUUGUUUUGUUUUAAUUCUCUUCAAAAGAUGGUUUAUAAUCAAGCCGUGGGACUUCAGUAAGUUCUCUCCAAUGCAGGUUUGUCAUGACCAAAAAAUGUACAGGACUCAUAAAAGGCUAAAAUGUUUAUCACUAUCAAACAAAACAAAAGUUAAUGGAAUGAACUAAACUAAUAGAAAACUAAAGCAAUAUUCCUCAUUUAUGCUUAGAACAUGGCUAAUCCUUAUUUUAUUUUUUAGAGUCAAAAAAACUUGUCUUUAGCUACAGCCUUUGAUAACUAAGCAAAGUGUACUACUAUAGGCAAAGUUUGGAGCAUGUUUAUUUCUCUCUGACUAAUUCCUCUAGAAUUUAGAAACUAGUUAUAAAUAUUCUUAAAUUACAACAAUAUAGUUGUUUGAAUCAGUGCAACAAGAAUCCAUUUUCUCUUGCAACAAAACACAAUCGGAAAAACUGGUUGUUUUACCAAGGCUUUGAUUGGAAGGGUCUGUUUCCCUUUAAGGGAUCAAGCUUAACUUGCUGAGCCAAUAAAAAGCCCUGGGGAAAACUGGCCUCAUACCUGUCUACACAGUCUCCACACCGGGUUCCUGACCUGCGGUGUGUAAAGAAUGUCACUUUCUAACAGGCCUAGGAACCCCAUGCUUCUGGAACCUCAAGAAGGAAAAGAAUUUAUCCAACUCACAGAAACCAUCAAGCUUCAGAUGGUGCCGCAAAUGGAGCCGAAAAUGAAACUGCCCUCCUACGAAGGACCCUUAAAUCAGCCCCAGGAGGAAGCCCCAGCUGCUGUUCCCCACACAACACCACUCUCCAGCAGGAAGGAGCCAGAAGAAAUGUCACCCACUUUCCCCUAGCGGCAGUUAGGGAUUCUAUUUCUGAGGGGGGAAAUACGUUAUAGGAGUCAGAAAUUAUUUAGGUAGACAGUCUACCUAAAAAACUGAGUCGCUGGCAGAAAACUUUCCUUUUAACAAAAAGCAGCUGAAAAAUAGCUCCCUUUCUAAUCUCAUGCAGUUCAAAAAAAGUGCUUCUCUUCUAGCAACAGGCAGCCUGAAAGUUGAGGCUGUAAAACACAGAGAAGAUGGCUUGAGCACAGAAAGACAGGGGGAAGUCUCCUGGGUAAUCACCAAACUUCACACUUACACAAUGGGCCCCAGUAAAACAGUGGGUCUUAAUAAGCAUAUUCCUUUCCCUUUAGGCGCACUAAGAUAGAGGAGCUAAAAACAGACUGGGGGGAUGUCUGCAGCUGCAAGAAGAUGUGUGAGAGCAGACACAGAAACUCUCCCUCCCAGGUGGAGAGAAAGGGGAGGAAGUGGAGAUAAAGAAGAAACAGG
Molecule: non-coding RNA, 1732 nt
Organism: Macaca mulatta (Rhesus monkey)
Lineage: Eukaryota; Metazoa; Chordata; Mammalia; Primates; Cercopithecidae
Source: RefSeq, a predicted model, not a curated record